RNA transcript from Helianthus annuus (common sunflower), 2180 nucleotides. It is a transcript of the gene named F-box protein At5g07610, with no coding region annotated. The record is from RefSeq and is a predicted model, not a curated record. The transcript is spliced from 5 exons. Lineage: Eukaryota; Viridiplantae; Streptophyta; Magnoliopsida; Asterales; Asteraceae.
ACGCCCCAUGCCCUCAUGGUCUAACCUAUGGGUACACAUUUCUCCGGUUCAAUACCGGGAACGUCAUGAAAACCCUAGCCAAAAUCAACAACUCUCAGCACACAUUUCUCCAACCCUCUUGAAUCAGAGUUUCUAUGGAGGAUUCCGAUCAUCAACCAACUCAUUCUGGUGCUUUGAUUGGGUCCAACGAUGACCUUUUAACCGAGAUCCUUCUCCGGCUCCCUGUUACCUCCAUCCUUCGCUUCAAAUCUGUUUCCAAACACUGGCGUUUGCUCUUGCGUCACAGACAUUUCACCCACAGGUAUGAUACCCUUUUAAAAUCUCCUGGUUUUUUUACUACUGACAAUAUAUAUGUUCCGUAUGAUGUUGAAAACCCAACCACUCCCCUUUUUCGUAGUCUCGAUUUCUACCCCGAUCCUCGCGGCAUCAGAAUUGUUCAAUCUUGUAAUGGAUUACUCCUUUGCUGUACCUAUCGAGGGAGCAUAGAUGCUCGUAAGUAUUAUGUGUUUAAUCCCACCACUAAACAAUUUGCAUUCGUCCCGUGUCUCCCCGGAGGUUAUGAAGUCCGUAAAACAAUCCGUUUUAUGGGUCUGGCAUUUCAUCGAACAGAUUGUGUGCACUACAAACUUGUUUGUAUUCGUUCUUUAGAGUCUGAUGAUGAUGAUGAUGUGGAGUUGUUUCAGAUUCAAAUCUACUCGUCUGAUACCAGGGAAUGGAGGAUUUGUCCUGUAACUUUCCGUACGGAUUGCCCCGUUUUCGAUAUGGGAGUUUACUGGAAUGGAGCUAUUCACUGGGCUCCCUCUUAUCGCAAUCAUUUGUACUUUAAAAUCGACGCCGAACAGUUGCAAACGUUGCCCUCGCCAGUGGAGAUGACUAUAUUUCAAACGUUGACAAUGUACUUUGGGGAAUCUAGAGGUCAUUUGCAUUUAACAGUGCUUGUUGAUUCUGAUGAAACCGGUUUACACCUGAACGUGUAUGAGAUGUUGGGCGAUCAUUCAGGGUGGUUUGUCAAGUAUCAACUACAGCUCCAUGAAAUUUGGGGUGCUUUUCCGGAGAUGACUCAUUCGUCGUAUGAUUUUGAUGUCGUUGAUGUGGUUAGAGGUGUAAAAGAAGAAGAUACAUUCAUCGUGCUGAGAAUUCACGGGAAGUUGACAAGAUGCCGGCAUAAUUCCGAGAGUGUAGUUCAUGAAAACUCUUAUUUGAGUGAAUUCCAUCAUGUCUUGCAAGCAUUGGUGCUGACCAACCAGCUGAGGUGGCUGAGGAUGCACCUAGAGAGGAAGUGGGAAUGCUGCUGCUUCAGCCAUUACAGGGGCGGUGUUGUAUGUAGAUAACAGGCUGAAUGCAAUGGGAGUAGGAGUCGAUAGCCCCAUACGUUUCUUGAAUCUCAUCAAGGAUCUUGACAUUCCAAGAGAUGCCAAACAUUAAGGGUUAUAUCACAAAACAUACGCCGCACAAGCCACAGAACAAGUAACGAACGGUCGAACAAAGUGAAACAAGUCGGACAACAUCAGCAGCUCCACCUCUCCGCCGACUCGCCGAUUGCUGCCGUCUGCCGCCGCGACGUCCAUCCUCUCCGCUGCUCGGCUGCUCCGCCUCCGCCGAUUGCUUCCGACACUUUGUUUUUCUUAUACGAAUCAGGCGAUUAAGUCACAUGAAAUUGGAGUAUCUAAAAAAGUGAACCCAGAGAAAAAUAUUCCUGGAUCCGCCACUGACCACAGAGACCCAGAUUCCAAAUGUUAUUGUUUUCUAAGAACCAUAUUUCAAACGUUGACAAUGUACUUUGGGGAAUCUAGAGGUAAUUUGCAUUUAACAGUGCUUGUUGAUUCUAAUGAAACCGGUUUACACCUGAACGUGUAUGAGAUGUUGGGCGAUCAUUCAGGGUGGUUUGUCAAGGAUCAACUACAACUCCAUGAACUUUGGGGUGCCUUCCCGGAGAUGACCCGUAAGCCUUAUAAUUUUAAUGUUGUUGAUGUGGUAAAAGGUGAAAAAGAAGAUACAUUCACUGAGAAUUUUUUGGAGAUAAGAUAUAAUGUUCAUGACAAGAGUUUUAGGCAGAUGUCUGAUGUCAUCGACUACUACGCCUUUAGAAAGGACCCCACCCGUUUGCCCAUCGUUAUAUUGAAACUUUAGCGUAUUUCUAAAAGACAAUUCUAUGUUUUUUAUAUUUUUCUUGAUUAAAA